GGUGGCUUGCUCGUGUGUAAGCUUAGGAUGAUAUUGUUUCAUGUUGGUGAUGUAUUUUUUUGACUUGCCUACCGACGAGGGGUUGCAUCAGACUUAGAUUGGGGAUGACCUUUACCGUUGACGAUGCUCUCUCUCAACUCACCCCCAGACGAGCAGGAGCAUCGGACUAAAGUCAAAGACGGUCCUUGCUAUCAAUGAUGCUCUCACUUCACUCACCUAUGGGCGAGUAGGGGCAUCGAACUGAAGUCGGAGAUGAUCUUCACGGUCGAUGAUGUUCUCACUUCACUCACCC
RNAcentral lists this long non-coding RNA (292 nucleotides) under Elaeis guineensis (African oil palm). RNAcentral describes it as "long non-coding RNA (EGUI_LNC012938)". Lineage: Eukaryota; Viridiplantae; Streptophyta; Magnoliopsida; Arecales; Arecaceae. The record is from RNAcentral.